RNAcentral lists this unclassified non-coding RNA (364 nucleotides) under Hevea brasiliensis (rubber tree). Lineage: Eukaryota; Viridiplantae; Streptophyta; Magnoliopsida; Malpighiales; Euphorbiaceae. The record is from RNAcentral.
AUCUCGAAUAAUCGAUAAAUGUAUCUGCAAUGCUACUGCUCUCCAGGAAGCAUUGUAUCCUCGGGAAGGUCGCAAUAUGCUAUGCCCUCCCCAGUAAGAUGGGCUACACAUUUUUUCUCCGCGAGCAACUCAGCUUCGGACUUCUUUAUGCGCUCUCGAAGGAAAUCGUCAAUAAUAACAUCUUCAGCUAGCUCGUAGUCGCCAUUUCCCUCUGAUCUGCACGGCAUGCUGAAAACGAUAUCCUCCGCUAUGCCAUAGGGGUUUCCGUUGGUAUAUACCCCUGACGAAAACCAAUCGCCUUUAGGAGUGGGAGUGACAAGGGACCUUAUGGCAUCAACAAUUGAAACAGCAGUCGAUGCAGCAG